CUACGGGAUGCUGCAGUGAGGAAUAUUGCGCAAUGGGGGAAACCCUGACGCAGCGACGCCGCGUGGAUGAUGAAGGCCUUAGGGUCGUAAAAUCCUGUCAGGUGGGAAGAAGUGGAUAUAGAUUAAUACUCUAUUUCUUUGACGGUACCACCAAAGGAAGCACCGGCUAACUCCGUGCCAGCAGUCGCGGUAAUACGGAGGGUGCAAACGUUGUUCGGAAUUACUGGGCGUAAAGCGCGCGUAGGCGGUUUGUUAAGUCAGAUGUGAAAGUCCAUGGCUUAACUAUGGAAGUGCAUUUGAAACUGGCAGACUUGAGUACUGGAGGGGGUGAUGGAAUUCCCGGUGUAGAGGUGAAAUUCGUAGAUAUCGGGAGGAAUACCGGUGGCGAAGGCGAUCACCUGGCCAGAUACUGACGCUGAGGUGCGAAAGCGUGGGGAGCAAACAGGAUUAGAUACCCGGGUAGUC
This 465-nucleotide ribosomal RNA is filed under the name uncultured bacterium. RNAcentral describes it as "partial 16S ribosomal RNA". It matches the Rfam family "Bacterial small subunit ribosomal RNA", at positions 339 to 795 of the family's 1533-position model. The record is from RNAcentral.